Molecule: ribosomal RNA, 429 nt
Filed under: Gemmatimonadota bacterium
Lineage: Bacteria; Pseudomonadati; Gemmatimonadota
Description: Gemmatimonadetes bacterium partial 16S ribosomal RNA
Rfam family: Bacterial small subunit ribosomal RNA
Source: RNAcentral
UAGGGAAUCUUCGGCAAUGGACGAAAGUCGGACCGAGCAACGCCGCGUGAGUGAAGAAGGUUUUCGGAUCGUAAAACUCCGUUGUUAGAGAAGAACAAGGACGUUAGUAACUGAACGUCCCCUGACGGUAGCUAACCAGAAAGCCACGGCUAACUACGUGCCAGCAGCCGCGGUAAUACGUAGGUGGCAAGCGUUGUCCGGAUUUAUUGGGCGUAAAGCGAGCGCAGGCGGUUUCUUAAGUCUGAUGUGAAAGCCCCCGGCUCAACCGGGGAGGGUCAUUGGAAACUGGGAGAGUGGAGUGCAGAGGAGGGGAGUGUAAUUCCAUGUGUAGCGGUAAAAUGCGUGGAUAGAUGGAGGAACACCAGUGACGAAGGCGGCUCUCUGGUCAGUAACUGACGCUGAGGCACGAAGGCGUGGGGAGCAAACAGA